CCUACGGGAGGCAGCAGUAGGGAAUCUUCCGCAAUGGACGAAAGUCUGACGGAGCAACGCCGCGUGAGCGAUGAAGGCCUUCGGGUCGUAAAGCUCUGUUGUUAGGGAAGAACAAGUAUCAGAGUAACUGCCGGUACCUUGACGGUACCUAACCAGAAAGCCACGGCUAACUACGUGCCAGCAGCCGCGGUAAUACGUAGGUGGCAAGCGUUGUCCGGAAUUAUUGGGCGUAAAGCGCGCGCAGGCGGUCCUUUAAGUCUGAUGUGAAAGCCCACGGCUCAACCGUGGAGGGUCAUUGGAAACUGGGGGACUUGAGUACAGAAGAGGAAAGCGGAAUUCCACGUGUAGCGGUGAAAUGCGUAGAGAUGUGGAGGAACACCAGUGGCGAAGGCGGCUUUCUGGUCUGUAACUGACGCUGAGGCGCGAAAGCGUGGGGAGCAAACAGGAUUAGAUACCCCGGUAGUCCACGCCGUAAACGAUGAGUGCUAAGUGUUAGGGGGUUUCCGCCCCUUAGUGCUGCAGCUAACGCAUUAAGCACUCCGCCUGGGGAGUACGGCCGCAAGGCUGAAACUUAAAGGAAUUGACGG
This 587-nucleotide ribosomal RNA is filed under the name uncultured bacterium. RNAcentral describes it as "bacterial SSU rRNA". It matches the Rfam family "Bacterial small subunit ribosomal RNA", at positions 338 to 916 of the family's 1533-position model. The record is from RNAcentral.